RNAcentral lists this ribosomal RNA (900 nucleotides) under uncultured bacterium. Its description in RNAcentral is "bacterial SSU rRNA". It matches the Rfam family "Bacterial small subunit ribosomal RNA", at positions 8 to 916 of the family's 1533-position model. The record is from RNAcentral.
AGAGUUUGAUCCUGGCUCAGGAUGAACGCUGGCGGCGUGCUUAAUACAUGCAAGUCGAACGAAGAGCCUUUGUAGCAAUACGAGGGUUUCUUAGUGGCGAACGGGUGCGUAACGCGUUGGUGACCUGCCCCGAAGUGUGGGAUAACAGUUCGAAAGGACUGCUAAUACCGCAUGUGGACACGAGGGUUAGAGGCUUUGUGUCUAAAGCAGUAAUGCGCUUUGGGAGGGACCUGCGUCCCAUCAGUUAGUUGGUAGGGUAGUGGCCUACCAAGACUUCGACGGGUAGGGGACCUGAGAGGGUGGUCCCCCACACUGGCACUGAAACACGGGCCAGACACCUACGGGUGGCAGCAGUAGGGAAUAUUGGGCAAUGGGCGAAAGCCUGACCCAGCAACGCCGCGUGCACGAUGAAGGUCUUCGGAUCGUAAAGUGCUUUUCUGAGAGAUGAGAAAGGACAGUAUCUCAGGAAUAAGUCUCGGCUAACUACGUGCCAGCAGCCGCGGUAAAACGUAGGAGGCAAGCGUUAUCCGGAUUUACUGGGCGUAAAGCGCGUGCAGGCGGUUCGACAAGUUGGAUGUGAAAGCUCCUGGCUCAACUGGGAGAGGUCGUUCAAUACUGUCGAACUCGAGAGCGGUAGAGGGAGGUGGAAUUCCCGGCGUAGUGGUGAAAUGCGUAGAUAUCGGGAGGAACACCAGUGGCGAAAGCGGCCUCCUGGACCGUUUCUGACGCUCAGACGCGAAAGCUAGGGUAGCAAACGGGAUUAGAGACCCCGGUAGUCCUAGCUGUAAACGAUGUGAACUUGGCGUCGGUAGUGUAAAAACUAUCGGUGCCGAAGCUAACGCGAUAAGUUCACCGCCUGGGGACUACGGCCGCAAGGUUAAAACUCAAAGGAAUUGACGG